AGAAUACGGAUGUGUUUACUACAAUAUCCUAAGAGCCUGUGCCAGCCCCAUUGCAUGGUAGAGCAAAGGAUAACCACAACCUUGGCUACUCUGCUUAAACACAACCCUCCACAACUGGCUGGGUGGAGGGUCAGUGUAGCUCUACAUCAGCCAGUGAAAACAUCAAGAAAGCUGUCUGUCUGCCAUUUAAAGCUCUUUCUUUUGUGGUGGGAGUCACCAAAAGUAAUUCAAGACACAUCUCAAUGAGCCUGACCAGGUACUGGCAACACUUUUUCAGAUUUCCUGAACCACACGCCCCUCCACUUCAGACAUGCAAGGAAAGCACUUUGGUUCAUGUUAGUCCCUCACCUUUCUACAAAGCUGGUGGAGACCAGCAAGAGGCCUCUCUGGUUCCUACAGUAUGGCUGACUUCCAUUCUUGACAAGUGAGCCUUGCAUUCACACAUCCCACUGGAGAAGGUUUUCCUUGCAGAGGUUUGCUAGGUCACCAGAACAGGAGCACAGAGCCUGCAGUUUCAGCAUCCCCUAACUGUUUGUUGAAAGUUAAGCUGGUGCCAUUUUAUAACAGCAGACAGAAGAGGAGGAAAUCAAACCCUGCCUGGAAAAAAAUAUAUUUAAAAAGAUUUUCUGAUGUAUGUCAUCCUCUAGGCUUGGGAUGAAAAGAAUGCAAGCAGGAUUUAGAUAUAGAUCUUGGAUAUUGCUCUUGAAAUAGCAACAGAAACUAGUAUCAAAAACAUUUAUAUUUGGGAAGAAAAGGAAAGAGAUGUGAUGCGGGGCGAUUUUGUGAGAGGAGCCAAUCUACACUAAAGAUUUUGGCUCAGAAAAUUCAGUCACACUCUUUUUUUAUUAUUUAUUCAAAGCCCACUGAGUCCUCUUUUUAAUCCUUUUGUUUCAUAUCAUCCUCACAACUACUUAUAGGUCUCUUGUAUCCUAAUUUUAUCAAUGAGGAAUUGAAGCUGAAAGGGUUGUAAUAUGACCAAGGCCACACAAUGAGCUGAUGGCCAAGGUGUGACCUGAAGUCAAGCUUCCCAGGGAGAAGAUCAGCUCAGGACUGCAAUGUCUCACUAAUUCAACUUCAGCUGCCAUCCUGUAUGUACUUACCUGGAAGUAAGUGCCACUGGACUUAAGGGGA
Molecule: non-coding RNA, 1131 nt
Organism: Podarcis lilfordi (Lilford's wall lizard)
Lineage: Eukaryota; Metazoa; Chordata; Lepidosauria; Squamata; Lacertidae
Source: the annotation of a GenBank genome assembly